This 312-nucleotide ribosomal RNA is filed under the name uncultured bacterium. Its description in RNAcentral is "partial 16S ribosomal RNA". It matches the Rfam family "Bacterial small subunit ribosomal RNA", at positions 28 to 334 of the family's 1533-position model. The record is from RNAcentral.
GACGAACGCUGGCGGCGUGCCUAACACAUGCAAGUCGAACGGAGCAGAUCCCUUCGGGGGUUUGCUUAGUGGCGAACGGGUGAGUAACGCGUGAGGAACCUGCCUUUCAGUGGGGGACAACAGUUGGAAACGACUGCUAAUACCGCAUAGGUGUAGAGAUCGCAUGAACUCUAUAUGAAAAGUGCUACGGGACUGGUAGAUGAUGGACUUAUGGCGCAUUAGCUGGUUGGUAGGGUAACGGCCUACCAAGGCGACGAUGCGUAGCCGACCUGAGAGGGUGACCGGCCACACUGGGACUGAGACACGGCCCAG